CUCGUAGGCGGUUUGUCGCGUCUGCUGUGAAAACUGGAGGCUCAACCUCCAGCCUGCAGUGGGUACGGGCAGACUAGAGUGCGGUAGGGGAGAUUGGAAUUCCUGGUGUAGCGGUGGAAUGCGCAGAUAUCAGGAGGAACACCGAUGGCGAAGGCAGAUCUCUGGGCCGUAACUGACGCUGAGGAGCGAAAGCAUGGGGAGCGAACAGGAUUAGAUACCCUGGUAGUCCAUGCCGUAAACGUUGGGAACUAGAUGUGGGGGCCAUUCCACGGUCUCCGUGUCGCAGCUAACGCAUUAAGUUCCCCGCCUGGGGAGUACGGCCGCAAGGCUAAA
RNAcentral lists this ribosomal RNA (333 nucleotides) under uncultured Microbacteriaceae bacterium. RNAcentral's name for it is "bacterial SSU rRNA". It matches the Rfam family "Bacterial small subunit ribosomal RNA", at positions 568 to 898 of the family's 1533-position model. The record is from RNAcentral. Lineage: Bacteria; Bacillati; Actinomycetota; Actinomycetes; Micrococcales; Microbacteriaceae.